Molecule: ribosomal RNA, 484 nt
Filed under: uncultured bacterium
Lineage: Bacteria
Description: partial 16S ribosomal RNA
Rfam family: Bacterial small subunit ribosomal RNA
Source: RNAcentral
AUUGAACGCUGGCGGCAGGCCUAACACAUGCAAGUCGAGCGGAUGAAGGGAGCUUGCUCCUGGAUUCAGCGGCGGACGGGUGAGUAAUGCCUAGGAAUCUGCCUGGUAGUGGGGUAUAACGUCCGGAAACGGGCGCUAAUACCGCAUACGUCCUGAUGGAGAAAGUGGGGGAUCUUCGGACCUCACGCUCUCAGAUGAGCCUAGGUCGGAUUAGCUAGUUGGUGGGGUAAAGGCCUACCAAGGCGACGAUCCGUAACUGGUCUGAGAGGAUGAUCAGUCACACUGGAACUGGGACACGGUCAAGAGUACUACGGGAGGCAGCAGUGGGGAAUAUUGGGCAAUGGGCGAAAGCAUGAUACAGCCAUGGCGCGUGUGUGAAGAAGGUCUUCGGAGUGUAAAGCACUUUAAGUUGGGAGGAAGGGCAGUAAGUUAAUACCUUGCUGUUUUGACGUUACCAACAGAAUAAGCACCGGCUAACUUCGUG